AGGCCUAGCUCAAACCCACAAAGCUCUGAGUUCCUCCCCAAGCCAUCAGUCAUCGUCACUCACCCUAAGCAGCUCCAGUUCUCCACUGGAACAAGGCGCCAGCUGCAGACCUAGAGGAACAGUAUGUUCAUUGAUGAAGACAAUGAUACUGUGUUUGGUGCCCAUGGUCACAUUGGAGGUCAUCCGAGAUCAGCUGUCAGUCACCGCACCUCCAGCUUAAACUCACCUGUCAACUGCAAAGGUGCAUCACACUGUCAGCUCUGGCCAGGUAGUCUGUCCAGUGAUGAUGUCAUGAGUCUUAGUCAAUCACACCAGACCUCGUCACGUAGUGCGACCCUCCCAUAUGACCACGCACCUCAGCGGGCCCGACCACAGCGUGGAGGGAGGAACAGCAAUAGGUCACGACCUUCAUCUCCUGAAAGUGAAAUGGUGAAAUGGUGACACUGCAAGAGAGCAAGCUGAAGUCACCACAAAUGGUUAGGAACUACAUCUAUUAAUAACCUGUAUUUUUGUUGCAUGUGAGUUACGCAAGUGGGUCAUUCCCACAAUUCGGUGCCGUUUCAGCAUUGUGGCUUUAAAAAAAAGAAAAGUUUUACUUUACAAUAAAUGUUCUUAUUGUCUGAAUGAGGGCUUAUUAAACGACAAGAAAAAUAUAUUGGUUGAGCUCAGGAUAUUGAAUUCUAAUAAUUAUGACCAAAUUUUUGGCAUGCAACAUAGUCCAGAUGUCCAUCCUGUUACGAGACAUUUUCAUCUGUAUUCAUAAUGUUCUUCAUGCUUAGUCAUUGUGCUUUUGAAAACCUAAAAUGUCCCUUAUUUGAUCCGUAAAAGUAUAUUUUUUUUUAAUAUGAAUAAAUAUUAGGGGUGCCAUGUUACAGUCAGC
Molecule: long non-coding RNA, 880 nt
Organism: Dunckerocampus dactyliophorus (ringed pipefish)
Lineage: Eukaryota; Metazoa; Chordata; Actinopteri; Syngnathiformes; Syngnathidae
Exons: 3
Source: RefSeq, a predicted model, not a curated record